UACGUAGGGGGCUAGCGUUGUCCGGAUUUAUUGGGCGUAAAGAGCUCGUAGGCGGUUUGUCGCGUCGACUGUGAAAACCUACAGCUUAACUGUGGGCUUGCAGUCGAUACGGGCAGACUUGAGUUCGGUAGGGGAGACUGGAAUUCCUGGUGUAGCGGUGAAAUGCGCAGAUAUCAGGAGGAACACCGGUGGCGAAGGCGGGUCUCUGGGCCGAUACUGACGCUGAGGAGCGAAAGCGUGGGGAGCAAACAGG
This 253-nucleotide ribosomal RNA is filed under the name uncultured bacterium. RNAcentral's name for it is "partial 16S ribosomal RNA". It matches the Rfam family "Bacterial small subunit ribosomal RNA", at positions 524 to 776 of the family's 1533-position model. The record is from RNAcentral.